CCCGGCUUAGCUCAGUUGGUAGAGCGGUGGACUGUAGAUCCACAGGUCGCUGGUUCAAAUCCGGCAGCCGGGA
RNAcentral lists this transfer RNA (73 nucleotides) under Thermoplasmata archaeon. Its description in RNAcentral is "tRNA-Tyr". It matches the Rfam family "tRNA". Rfam says of the family: Transfer RNA (tRNA) molecules are approximately 80 nucleotides in length. Their secondary structure includes four short double-helical elements and three loops (D, anti-codon, and T loops). Further hydrogen bonds mediate the characteristic L-shaped molecular structure. tRNAs have two regions of fundamental functional importance: the anti-codon, which is responsible for specific mRNA codon recognition, and the 3' end, to which the tRNAs corresponding amino acid is attached (by aminoacyl-tRNA synthetases). tRNAs cope with the degeneracy of the genetic code in two manners: having more than one tRNA (with a specific anti-codon) for a particular amino acid; and 'wobble' base-pairing, i.e. permitting non-standard base-pairing at the 3rd anti-codon position. RNAcentral also lists the same sequence under 3 other names. Lineage: Archaea; Methanobacteriati; Thermoplasmatota; Thermoplasmata. The record is from RNAcentral.